This is a long non-coding RNA of Delphinapterus leucas (beluga whale), 402 nucleotides long. RefSeq lists it as uncharacterized. The record is from RefSeq and is a predicted model, not a curated record. Lineage: Eukaryota; Metazoa; Chordata; Mammalia; Artiodactyla; Monodontidae.
GAGGCGGGGAGGCGGGGAGGUAGCCGCGGUUCGUUGGCUGGUGUGGGCAUAUAACCUACUUGUAAGACAAGUUCUUGUCUGCGGGCCUCUGCCUGGCCCUAAAUAUGUGUGUUCUCGAAUCUUAGUGACCAAGUGAUCGCCAAGGCCGCAUCAGACAAGGGUGGGGUGUCGGUGCCUUUGUCUACAACGGAAGAUGGCGACGGGCAGGGUGUGAGAAAAUGGCCGCCAGGGUCACAUGUUUUGCUGAGUAUACCCACCUGAAAUGACUAGGAGAGUGAACUCCCUGAGACUAGGGGCCAUAUAUCUUCGCGCCCUCAGCAGGACCCAGCACAAGACUGGUACAAGGCACGCUUCAGCAAAUGUUUGUUAAAUGGUUCUCAGGUGGUGGUGGUGGUGGUGGUG